GAUAUAGCAUAAAUUAUCCUCUAAUUAUACACUAGUGUCGCCUCAAUUAUCCUCUUAUCAAAAAUGGUUGUCUAAAUGCAGCGUUUAGUUUCAGUUCUCUCCAUUUCUAUAACAAGAACUUCAUACCUUGCUAUUAUUAUUAGGGUUAUUAUUUACUAAGGGAUUUAAAACUGCACAGCUAGCCAGGAUAACCAUUUUUCAAAGAGGACCAAGGCAAAAGCAGACUGCAAGGCUCAACAUAGAACUAAGGCUGCAUCUUCUUAACGCUGUCCCGAUAUUUUUUGCAACCAAUACAUUACAGAAGACGGCUGUGUUGGUUGUGCUUUGUCACGACAAAGGAACCAACAUUUCAAAGAAACAGGAGAGUCACUGCAAUAAAACAAAAGGAAAUAAUCAAGACAAAAGAAAAUGACAACUUAUCUUAAGGCAAUGAGCACUACAGUGAACUUUGUUGGAAUUCUCGUCAUGUGAUAAUUUUACAAAAAUAAACAAAUGGACAUGA
This is a long non-coding RNA of Polypterus senegalus (gray bichir), 502 nucleotides long. RefSeq lists it as uncharacterized. The transcript is spliced from 2 exons. The record is from RefSeq and is a predicted model, not a curated record. NCBI's taxonomy places the organism in Eukaryota, Metazoa, Chordata, Cladistia, Polypteriformes, Polypteridae.